This 72-nucleotide transfer RNA is filed under the name Thiohalorhabdus denitrificans. It matches the Rfam family "tRNA". Rfam says of the family: Transfer RNA (tRNA) molecules are approximately 80 nucleotides in length. Their secondary structure includes four short double-helical elements and three loops (D, anti-codon, and T loops). Further hydrogen bonds mediate the characteristic L-shaped molecular structure. tRNAs have two regions of fundamental functional importance: the anti-codon, which is responsible for specific mRNA codon recognition, and the 3' end, to which the tRNAs corresponding amino acid is attached (by aminoacyl-tRNA synthetases). tRNAs cope with the degeneracy of the genetic code in two manners: having more than one tRNA (with a specific anti-codon) for a particular amino acid; and 'wobble' base-pairing, i.e. permitting non-standard base-pairing at the 3rd anti-codon position. The record is from Rfam by way of RNAcentral. Lineage: Bacteria; Pseudomonadati; Pseudomonadota; Gammaproteobacteria; Thiohalorhabdales; Thiohalorhabdaceae.
GGGCGGAUAGCUCAGCGGGAGAGCACUGCCUUCACACGGCAGGGGUCGCUGGUUCGAUCCCAGCUCCGCCCA